CGUCACUAACUCUCCAGGGCUGACUCUGAAACCUCCCCUGGGCCCAGCUGUGCUGGAUGCGGCAUCAGAGGCCAGCAGCAACAGGAGAGAGGCUGCCAGGUGCCAUCAGGAGCCCAGCCACCAACCAGCGCCCCCAAGCCUGGGCACUGCCAGCCCCACAGAACCAUCACCAACUGCAGUGUUGAAGUGGGGCACACAGGGCUCCGUUCUGUGUUCAGCGCCAACAUGGACCAUUUGCAGCUGACAUGAAGCUGGGCAGCACGGUAACGAGCACUGAUUCGUAUAGCAGCGGGGCCCAUCCUGGUGUGGCUCCCGCACGUUCUUCCCAGCAGCAUCCGCUGACACGGCUAGAGAGGAGCAUCGGUGAAGGAUGAUCUUGGGAUGUUCUUCACCCCAGGAGCUGUGACCCUCUCAUUGUGCCCUCAUACAGCACUCCUCUCCUCUCACUGAUGCCAGCUCCAUGCAGCACCCACAGCCUAGCCCAGCAGCUUGGGACAGGGCCGCUGCUUGUCUGGCAUGUGACUGCACCGUCCGAAAGAUCUUCCUCCAGGGGCACCAGUCCCCUUCUGUGGGCUCAAAAAUCCCCCUCAGACUGGAUUUGAGCUAUUUGGGAGCCCAGGCCUGGGACAACAGGGGGCUGCGGGUCAGGACUGAGGAGGCACCAGCAGAGCUAUGAAUGAGGACUCCAAUGCACCUGUGCAUGUCUCUCACUUUCAGUCCCUUUCCAGGCCCUCACGUCUCCCUUUUUUAACAGCCCAGCACCCAAUGCCACUGCACACCUGCCCCCCUCCCCCACCGACACACACUUCAGGCUCCCUCGGCUUGAGCAGUUGUACUACCUGCCCUGGUGGUGCCAGCGCUCACCCCUGCUCUCAUCUUACAGGCUGCAGUGGGGAUGGGGCCCCCCGCAAGGCUCCAAACCUCAGCCCACUAGGCUGAAAUGCAGAGGGGGCUGGGAUCACUGACUCCUCCAUUCACACACCCUUCAGGGGCUUCACAUUGGAAGUCAGCAGCAUCCAGCACUAAAGGGAGCUUCCAGAGUGACCGGUUGAAGGCAUUUGCCUCCCAUGCUGCAUCCCUGCACGGUAUGCUGCAUCCCACUGGAGAGCAGACCAGGAAUGUGUGGGUGUGGGCAGGGGGAGCUCCCUGACAGAACCACACCACAGAUGACACCAGUUGGCCUGUCUCUGGUCACUGCAUACAGGGGCUGCGGACUCCCUCCCUGCGCAGCCUGAACCUCAGCCCACAUCCCACCAAAGCUUUUGGAGUUUGCCCCCUCCACCCCCAAGCACCUAUCCUCUCCCCGCCCCCCCAGCCCCUCUCCCCACCACCCACAGACACUGAUCCUCUCCCAUCAACACCAUCCCAUCCCCACUUUUCCCAA
Long non-coding RNA from Mauremys reevesii (Reeves's turtle), 1384 nucleotides. RefSeq lists it as uncharacterized. NCBI's taxonomy places the organism in Eukaryota, Metazoa, Chordata, Testudines, Geoemydidae. The record is from RefSeq and is a predicted model, not a curated record. The transcript has 3 exons.